Long non-coding RNA from Acanthochromis polyacanthus (spiny chromis), 567 nucleotides. RefSeq lists it as uncharacterized. The record is from RefSeq and is a predicted model, not a curated record. Lineage: Eukaryota; Metazoa; Chordata; Actinopteri; Pomacentridae. The transcript has 3 exons.
CACUGCCCAGCACCAGGAAGCACUGUGGUAAGAAAAGAAAAGACAACUUCUUGAUGAGCAAACUUCAACCUUCCAACCACCAUAUUCUGUGAUGAAGAGGAUGAAACUUGAAACUGCGUCUGCUGCCUUUACAGAGGGGGAUCCAGAAAGGCAUAUAGAGAGCAUGGCUGGACAGCAGCAGGAUGGUUCCUCUACUUCCACUGCACAGACUGACACAGUGAGAUGGAUGUUCAGGAAACAUCAGAGGUUCAUUCCAUGGAAUUCAUGUGCAACUGUAUAAUUUAAUGUCCUCUAUGUAUUCCCAGUUAUCAGUAAAACAGAUUUACAAACUGCAUUUGCUGAGAAAAAUCCAAAAAACAGAUUAGGAGGGCAGAUCUGGAAAUUGAAAUACUGGAGCACAAGUUAGUGGUGGGCACAUGGUCACAGGUGAAUUAUGUUAACUACUGGAACAUGAACUGAACUAUCUUUUAUUUGUAGGAAAAAAAGAAGACCAAAUGAAAUGUGCAUCAUGUCUUUAUUUGCUGUGGUGGUGAUGAUGGUGACUUAAACUCUAAAGUGAUUAUUGCA